GUCUAAAUAGUUUAAAAAAAAUUUAAGUUUGUGGUACUUAAGAUGUAAAGGUUUACUUUGGACA
Molecule: transfer RNA, 64 nt
Filed under: Striatobalanus tenuis
Lineage: Eukaryota; Metazoa; Arthropoda; Thecostraca; Balanomorpha; Balanidae
Description: tRNA-His
Source: RNAcentral